Molecule: ribosomal RNA, 448 nt
Filed under: uncultured bacterium
Lineage: Bacteria
Description: bacterial SSU rRNA
Rfam family: Bacterial small subunit ribosomal RNA
Source: RNAcentral
UACCAGACUCCUACGGGAGGCAGCAGUGGGGGAUAUUGCACAAUGGGGGGAACCCUGAUGCAGCGACGCCGCGUGGGUGAAGGAGUGCUUCGGCAUGUAAAGCCCUAUCGGCAGGGAAGAAGCAAGACGGUACCUGACUAAGAAGCCCCGGCUAACCACGUGCCAGCAGCCGCGGUAAUACGUAGGGGGCAAGCGUUAUCCGGAUUUACUGGGUGUAAAGGGGGCGCAGACGGCGAUGCAAGCCAGGAGUGAAAGCCCGGGGCCCAACCCCGGGACUGCUCUUGGAACUGCGUGGCUGGAGUGCAGGAGGGGCAGGCGGAAUUCCUGGUGUAGCGGUGAAAUGCGUAGAUAUCAGGAGGAACACCGGUGGCGAAGGCGGCCUGCUGGACUGCAACUGACGUUGAGGCCCGAAAGCGUGGGGAGCAAACAGGAUUAGAUACCCGGGUAA